This is a non-coding RNA of Podarcis lilfordi (Lilford's wall lizard), 83 nucleotides long. The record is from the annotation of a GenBank genome assembly. NCBI's taxonomy places the organism in Eukaryota, Metazoa, Chordata, Lepidosauria, Squamata, Lacertidae.
GCAACUGGGUAGCUCAAUUGGUUAGAACAUGGUGCUGGUAAUGUCAAGGUUGCAGUUUCGAUCCCUGUAAGGGAUAACUUGCA